Molecule: unclassified non-coding RNA, 2965 nt
Filed under: Hevea brasiliensis (rubber tree)
Lineage: Eukaryota; Viridiplantae; Streptophyta; Magnoliopsida; Malpighiales; Euphorbiaceae
Source: RNAcentral
GGCUAGCUUACCGUGAGCCUCACCUCCAAACGGCAAACGCUUAACAAAGCAAAGCCAUAAAAUCUGCAAAACCUAAACCCCAAAGCCUCCCCUUAUGUGAACCACAAGAGAGCCAAACCGCGAAAACAGUCAUUGCUCCUUUAGAUCGCCCCCCCUCUCUCUCGCUCUCUCUCCCGGUAAUCUUGUCUCGUAUUGAUUUCCAUUAUCUACACGGACCAGUAAUAGGGCUUUAGUCUUGUAUAUAUCACAUUAGUCGGGAAUGCAAGUAUUCUCUUCUUAUUCUUUAUUUUGAUCUGACUUGUUAAUUCAAUCUCUAACUUCCACUUUUGGGCUUUUAUUACGUUUUCUCUUCUACUUGUUACCUUUGUAUCCAAGGGCUUUUCAGGGUAGUGCCUAGAAUCAAGGUUAUAAGAGUUGGUUGUCGUUAUGUUUGAUAAAAGUUCUCAGUGAAAAGUAUUCAUACAGUAGUUCACUUCAAACUAUUAAUGUUUCUGGGUUUUUAUGUUGGCAAAUGGAUAUUGGAGAUUUUAUGAUAUUAAUGCGUGGGGUAUUGAGUUCGUUUUAUGGGUAUGUUUGAUAUUAAGGAAGAAGUCAGAACAUGCUUUCUCUGCGUCCUAUUCGCAGAUUCUGCCGCUCUGCUGCUGCCGCCAUUGCAUCAACUGAUAGUCGUGCUGCUGUAUCUAAUCACGUUUUGAAUCCGAAACGUUUGGAGGAACCUGCCCUUAUCAAGCUAAAAGCAGAGCGUGACCCCGAAAAGCUAUUUAACAUUUUCAAGGCCAAUGCUCAGAAUAGGCUUGUCAUUGAGAACCGAUUUGCAUUUGAAGACACUGUUUCUCGUUUAGCUGGUGCUCGACGGUUUGAUUACAUUGUGCAUUUGCUUGAGCACCAAAAGACUCUUCCACAAGGCAGGCGUGAAGGCUUCAUUGUGAGGAUUAUAAUGUUGUAUGGUAAGGCAGGGAUGACUAAGCAUGCUAUAAAUACCUUUUACGAUAUGCAUUUAUAUGGAUGUAGAAGGACAGCUAAAUCUUUCAAUGCUGCCCUUAAGGUUUUGACAGGGACCCGUGAUUUAGGAGCAAUUGAGGCAUUUCUUAAUGAGGUUCCUGAGAAGUUCGACAUUAUAUUGGAUAUUUUUUCAGUUAACAUUAUUAUUAAGGCUUUUUGUGAAAUGGGUAUUUUGGAUAAAGCAUAUUUGGUCAUGGUACAAAUGGAAAAGUUGGGGAUAACACCUGAUGUGAUUACAUACACAACACUUAUAUCAGCAUUUUAUAACAAUAAUCGAUGUGAAAUUGGUAAUGGCUUGUGGAAUCGUAUGGUGCGCAAGGGGUGCUUACCCAACCUUGCAACAUUUAAUGUUAGGAUUCAAUUUCUAGUUAAGAGAAGACAAUCUUGGCAAGCUAAUGAUGUGAUGCGUUUGAUGCAGAGAAUUGGGAUUGCACCAGAUGAGGUUACUUAUAAUUUGGUCAUCAAAGGGUUCUGUCAGGCUGGGUAUCUUGAGAUGGGCAAAAGGGUGUACUCUGCUUUGCAUGGGAAGGGGUAUAAACCCAAUGUUAAAAUUUAUCAAACCAUGGUUCAUUAUCUGUGUAAGGGUGGGGACUUUGAUUUGGCAUAUACCAUGUGUAAAGACUGCUUGAAAAGGAAUUGGUUUUUGAACGUCGAUACCAUUUAUGCACUGCUUGAGGGGCUAAAAAAGAACAGGCACCUUGGCAAGGCUAAGAUGAUUGUGACAUUAGCUCAAAGAAGAGUGCCUCCUUUUUCUUCAAAUCAAUUGAGUUCUUUCCACUCCAUAUUGUCUAGAAGUUGAUUCAGUUGAUGGAAAGACUUGGAUGAGUUUGAUUAUUGUAAUCUACCGCUUAACAAGACUUCUGAUUCUUUUCAAUUGAUUUUUGGUAGAUUGCAAAACUAAAUGGACAUCAAGUCUUACUGGUUAUAUCAGAUAAAUGGCACUUCCAUUUCUUCAAUUAAUCUAUUGUACAAACUCAAUAAAGUUAUGGUGACAAAGUUCUAAUGGAUGGUGCUGUGGUUCUUGUAAGUUGCCAAAUUCAUGCAAAAACACUUUCUAUUAAUUUCAAGUACAAAUAUAACGGCAUAAAUAUGUGUUUGAGCAUGUGGCAUAUGCAUUAAUUAUUGAGCAUCUUUUCCUUCAACCGUAAGAGUAUGCAACUAUGCAUUUGGUAUGCAUUCAAUUGUCUAAUUUCUUGUAAAUUGGUGUGCCAUUAGCAUUUUCAAUAUGGUAUGUUUAAUAUACUGGUUAAAUUUGAAGUUUUGGCUUUAUGAUACUAGAUGGGUUUAUAUGCUAUAAUGAUGUGGAUGAUGAUUUUAUAUGUGUUGUUUUGAUUUGAUGUUAGCUGAUUUCUAAGGUCAUGCAUGUCUCUAAAUUUCUUUUGUCAGCAUUAUUUAUGAAGAGCUUGAUGGCAACAGAAGGAAGUCAAUAAUCUCGUUGCUACAUUUUGCUUAAAUGCCAAUAUUGAAGGACAGAAGUCACAAAUGAACAUUGUUACGGCCAGAAAGUUAAGCUCAUUGCAGAAACGAGUCUGGAAUAAAGGGUACAAUUGCUGAAUCAAUGGUAGGGGCAACAGACUGGAAUUCCAUUAGUUGAACUGUUGGGCAACCUUAAACUGAAACUCCUGGUCCUUGUCUUAUUAGUGUGACAACUUGAUAUUGAACGAGUCUGACCUUAACAGAGUAACUUGUUGGCUAGUUGGAUGUGCAUGAGGUGGGAUACUUGUUGGAUGGAUUUUAGGCUUCUGAUCCUUGCAUAGCCACAACAUUGUUUAGGCACAUUAAUGCUUUUCAGGUGCCUGAACUGGGAUUUUGUUCCAAAUUGGGAUGAAUUUAGGGUGAUUGUUAUUGCAUUUUUUUGCUUUGGCUGGUAAAAGUGUAAUGUGCAAAGCUGAAAUGAUAUUGGCCUGCUAGAAUACAAAGCUCAUUUUCUGUAUGUGGCGUGAUUUUAAUUGAUGAAAUGGAG